AGCGCGAGGAGAAAGAUGGCGGCGAUGGCGGUCGGGGGUGCUGGUGGGAGCCGCGUGUCCAGCGGGAGGGACCUGAAUUGCGUCCCCGAAAUAGCUGACACACUAGGGGCUGUGGCCAAGCAGGGGUGAGGGCCGGACCUCCACGAGCGGAAUGCGGGGUCCGAACUCGGGGACGGAGAAGGGCAGACUAGUCAUCCCGGAGAAGCAGGGGUUUGAUUUCCUCUGCAUGCCUGUCUUCCAUCCGCGUUUCAAGAGGGAGUUCAUUCAGGAACCUGCUAAGAAUCGGCCCGGUCCCCAGACACGAUCAGACCUACUGCUGUCAGGAAGGGGUAGGGACCAUCCCAUAUGCCCCUUAAUUAUUAGAGGCAACAACAACUUCUGCUUUAUCGGGGCCCUCAUUCUCCUCCUUUUCUGACUUGGAUAUAUUUGUUAGUCCCUGGGAUAUAGAUAACUUGUUUUCUCCUUGCUUCUCUAUUCUGCAUCAGGCUAUCCCAUGUCUAUGUAGAAAAAACCUUUGUCUCUCAUUUCUACUCUUGAUUCCCAAAACUAAAAAUUGAACAAGU
Molecule: small RNA, 563 nt
Filed under: Pan troglodytes (chimpanzee)
Lineage: Eukaryota; Metazoa; Chordata; Mammalia; Primates; Hominidae
Description: processed transcript
Source: RNAcentral